RNAcentral lists this microRNA (23 nucleotides) under Salmo salar (Atlantic salmon). RNAcentral describes it as "ssa-miR-462b-5p". Its record names the gene ssa-miR-462b-5p. Lineage: Eukaryota; Metazoa; Chordata; Actinopteri; Salmoniformes; Salmonidae. The record is from miRBase by way of RNAcentral.
UAACGGAACCCAUAAAGCAGCUG